AGUGAGAUAGCUGGGUCAUAUAUGGUGGUUUCAUUUCUACUUUUUUGAGAAAUCUCCAUGCUGUUUUCCAGAGUGGUUGCACUAAUUUUGCAGUCCCACCAACAAU
RNAcentral lists this microRNA precursor (106 nucleotides) under Marmota monax (woodchuck). The record is from RNAcentral. Lineage: Eukaryota; Metazoa; Chordata; Mammalia; Rodentia; Sciuridae.